GACCUCAAAUCGGGUGAGACUACCCGCUGAACUUAAGCAUAUCAAUAAGCGGAGGAAAAGAAACUAACAAGGAUUCCCCUAGUAACUGCGAGUGAAGCGGGAAAAGCUCAAAUUUAAAAUCUGGCGGUCUUUGGCCGUCCGAGUUGUAAUUUAGAGAAGCGUCUUCCGCGUCGGACCGUGCACAAGUCUCCUGGAAUGGAGCGUCAUAGAGGGUGAGAAUCCCGUCUUUGGCACGGACGCCCGAUGCUUCUGUGAUGCGCUCUCGAAGAGUCGAGUUGUUUGGGAAUGCAGCUCAAAAUGGGUGGUGAACUCCAUCUAAAGCUAAAUAUUGGCGAGAGACCGAUAGCGAACAAGUACCGUGAGGGAAAGAUGAAAAGCACUUUGGAAAGAGAGUGAAACAGUACGUGAAAUUGUUGAAAGGGAAACGCUUGAAGUCAG
This 438-nucleotide ribosomal RNA is filed under the name uncultured fungus. Its description in RNAcentral is "eukaryotic LSU rRNA". It matches the Rfam family "Eukaryotic large subunit ribosomal RNA", at positions 1 to 432 of the family's 3401-position model. Lineage: Eukaryota; Fungi. The record is from RNAcentral.